Long non-coding RNA from Aedes albopictus (Asian tiger mosquito), 1312 nucleotides. RefSeq lists it as uncharacterized. NCBI's taxonomy places the organism in Eukaryota, Metazoa, Arthropoda, Insecta, Diptera, Culicidae. The record is from RefSeq and is a predicted model, not a curated record. The transcript is spliced from 3 exons.
AAUAGUUGACUUUGUAACGGAAUGAGAUGAAAAGACAAUUCAAAGGCAAGGGAGAUUUCUUUAUCCGAAAUCAUACAGACCUGAUCAACGGAGACCUUCGGGCUUCCAUUUCCGGGAACCAUACCGUGAGAUCCUAUCUGAGGAAUCACAAAGAUAUUCUCGUCCACUUUGUCCCAGAUCGUGGUAGAAGAAGGAUCGCGAAGUAGUGUCUUUCCCGUGGUGUGAUUUUGCCAAAAGUUCAAUAGCUAGGUUGUGCGGUGAAUUGUGCGUGUUGAACCCGAGUACCAAGUUCAAAGCCAAGCGCGAGCGACGGCUAUACCUCUACUCCAAAAAUAGCACGUACAUCGCACAAAGCGAAGAACGAGAGCGUCUCGCCCACCACCUUACGUCGCGCAUCCACCCUGCGUCCUGGGGCCAAAGUUUGCCCGGCGAUUCCAGGCCGGAAGGGAGUCGCGAACGUCACCAACGCACUCCGAAGGCAAGCGACAUUCGCCAAUCGUCCGCUCGUUUGGUCACGAGCACGAGAAACACUCCACGAAGCUCGUGCGUGGCCGUGAAUCGAAUUCACCGUAGAGGUACCGUUCGGCCAACCGUCGACACUAUCGUCAACGUCAUCGGCGUCGUCGUAGAAAGCGCCCGAUCGAAAGCUCGUGAGUACGUUCCGUGAAACUUUGCAUGCAACCCGAUUAGCACACACACAUACACACAAAAGCGCUAGCGUAGACCAAAACCGCACAAGAUAGGGCCAUAGUCAGAAAGGGGGAAGAAGAAGAAGGAAGGCCGGUCGGACGCGACCGUAGAAAUGGAAUAGGUUAACAAAUUGUUUCUAUUAAUGAAUACCUUAGGUUAUCAAAUUGAAUAAAUGUUCAUGAUGAAGUCCUUGUUUCCCUAAACCAUGUGUUAGUAAGUGAGUGUUAAGAAAGUCUAAAGUACGUUUCACGUUUCGUGGUAAUUUGUUAUUCCGCCUUGUUGUGAAGUCCGUCUUCCAAAACGGGAUGGAACUGAAGUGGUUGGGAUGUCUUUGCCAGUGAUGAGAACAGGAUAAGGUCGAGUUCUGGGAUAUCGGUCGUUUGGGGGAAUUUGUUGGUUAUGUCUGUGUGGCUUCCGCUAUUGAAGUAGAGUCCUUGUAUGAUGAGUCUGCUCGCUUGUUCCCGCGCAUUGUUGAUUAUUCCGAAGCUGACUCUUCGGUCAGUAUCUAGCCGGGCAUCGUAGAAAACGACGGGUGGUCCUCCUAGGAGGUGGCGCUUAAGCCACUUGUUUAAAAAUCCGGGCCGGAAACAAGAAGCAGACUCCGAGCGGGCCCAUGGCCGCU